UGAAGUUUUCUUUUUGGAAAUACUCCCAUAUACAGGUUGAAGGGUUACUCAGAAUUCAUACACACACACACUGUCUGAACUGCUUGUCCCAUUCAGGGUCACGGGGGGCCGGAGCCUAACCCGGCAACACAGGGCGUAAGGCUGGAGGGAGAGGGGACAAACCCAAGACAGGACGCCAGUCCAUCGCAAGGUACCCCAAGUGGGACUCGAACCCCAGACCCACCGGAGAGCAGGACCCCCCCCCCCCCCCAACUCGUGCAUACUGCAGUAAAUAAGUUUACACCGUUUUUCUUGUACAGGACACAUCAGUUCAAUGCGGCGGAAGCUGAACUUGAAAAAACAGCUGAAAGGUAAAAAAGUGCUAUAAGAGACUGGAAAGGGUUCUGUCACGGGUUGAAAAUCGAGUUCCUCCCAGUGCCGACUAGGACUUUGUCUCUAAAUUAUGUCAAGAUGUUAUUAAUGUUGAUGGAGCAGUGUUUUUUUUUGUGAUCAAAAUAUUAAAUGGAAGAAAUAAUUUCCUUUUUUCCCAAUAAUCAAAGGUAGGAUAUUUGUUCUUGUCGGGGGGUCUUUAUGGGCUCCUAUAAAAUGAUCGGUUAUUACUACACAUAAGACAGAGUAAGAGCUUUGGAAUGAACAACACGUCCGCUCCCUCGCCAGAACUCAAGCGAAAAUAAUUCCACUUUUGGGAAUAGGCAAUGAGUCAACGGGAGGACACGGCCUCAGCGCUCGGGUUGGUGCGUGUAGUAGUGCGUAGCUGAGAUUAACACUUACAAGUACAAGAACAGCUUGAGCACGCAGCGGUGCACAGUGCGAUAAGAGGCCUUAAACACAGCCAAGCGCCGCCCAGCCUCUUUAUUUUGGAAGGCCACGAGAACGUUCUGAUGUUUUGAACAAAGGAAGGACAUCUUUGUAACUUUUAUAUGUAAACUUUUCAACUCUGUAAUGCUUAAAUGCCCUGCUGUCGAAAAGGGAAGGACUCACGAAGUUUGCGUUUAAGGAAUCCCACAGAGGCUCGGAGGAGAAUGUGUUCAAAUCCCCUUUUCUCCCCCACGUGAGCAAUAUUUCAGCAUCGACGGGCCCCGCGGGGGCAAUCGGGAAGUUUAGUGUUUUCCUUAAUCAACGUCCAGUUCUCUUUGACGCAGAAGGCGCUCCUCGUGUUCCCGAGGACAGAACAAAGAAUUUUUUAACGCGCUCAGCUGUACGUAUUACGGGGACCGUACCUCCUCGUGCCGCCCGUACAGAACGGAGCUCGUGUGGCGCUCGGCUGUUUUUCUCUCCGCGCUGGCUCUCUCGCCGAAUCACGUCCGCCUCUCCGGCACAAAAUCAGGCCCACAUGUUAAACCGAUGGCUUGUUUUCCGAGUCAUGUCAGAGCGGAGUUACAAAAACAGCUCGGUCUCAGAGUACGGUGCGCUGGGGGCAAAGGGCUACCCUGUGAUGGACUGGUGUCCGUUCCAAGGUGCACCCUUCUUAGCCCUGUGUCCUGCGCUUCCAGCAUAGACUCCUGAUCACUACGACCUUGAGCAAGUGCUGAAUGAUGUUGUAGGAAAGCCAACGGAGAGCGAUAAGGAGGGAAGACACAUGAGAACGCUUUGGCAGGUAAGCACAACUCGUACUGCUGCAUUCUGAAGACAGGUCUGAGUGCUUUUGGCAGUUACUUUUCCAAGUAAUUCAUCCAACUUGCAUUAGACCAACUGUUACUGUAUCUGUGUUGCUACAGACAGAUGACCAGGAAACUCUCCCUGCCCUGUGGAUGCAAUGGAAUUUUUAUUGUCAUAUAAACAUCGCCACUUAGACCCUCUAACUGUAUUGAACUGUAUUGUUUUAAGGGGAAAAAACACUGCAUGUACACCCUCCCAAUUUCCACUGUACCGAAAGUGUGAGUCACUAUUGACAAAGACCAAUGAGAUGUCAUAGGGCGAUCUUGCCUGUGUAGUGCCUUACAGUUUUUAGGUGGAAGCU
This 1960-nucleotide long non-coding RNA is filed under the name Scleropages formosus (Asian bonytongue). RNAcentral's name for it is "lncRNA (ENSSFOG00015027517.1)". The record is from RNAcentral. Lineage: Eukaryota; Metazoa; Chordata; Actinopteri; Osteoglossiformes; Osteoglossidae.